CAACCCUAGAGAUAGGGCUUCCCCUUCGGGGGCAGAGUGACAGGUGGUGCAUGGUUGUCGUCAGCUCGUGUCGUGAGAUGUUGGGUUAAGUCCCGCAACGAGCGCAACCCUUGAUCUUAGUUGCCAGCAUUCAGUUGGGCACUCUAAGGUGACUGCCGGUGACAAACCGGAGGAAGGUGGGGAUGACGUCAAAUCAUCAUGCCCCUUAUGACCUGGGCUACACACGUGCUACAAUGGGCAGAACAAAGGGCAGCGAAGCCGCGAGGCUAAGCCAAUCCCACAAAUCUGUUCUCAGUUCGGAUCGCAGUCUGCAACUCGACUGCGUGAAGCUGGAAUCGCUAGUAAUCGCGGAUCAGCAUGCCGCGGUGAAUACGUUCCCGGGCCUUGUACACACCGCCCGUCACACCACGAGAGUUUGUAACACCCGAAGUCGGUGAGGUAACCUUUUGGAGCCAGCCGCCGAAGGUGGGACAGAUGAUUGG
This 482-nucleotide ribosomal RNA is filed under the name Bacillus sp. Qqxia3. RNAcentral's name for it is "bacterial SSU rRNA". It matches the Rfam family "Bacterial small subunit ribosomal RNA", at positions 995 to 1478 of the family's 1533-position model. The record is from RNAcentral. Lineage: Bacteria; Bacillati; Bacillota; Bacilli; Caryophanales; Bacillaceae.